AGUUCAUGACUCUGCACAAUCUUCUUCUGUCAUGGUCUGAUAGCUCAGGAUGUGCCUGGUUACGAAAGACACCAAUAGCUUCAACACAUUUAGGAAUGGAGUGCUUUUUUUCCUACUGUUUUGCUGUUGGCAAUUUUCUAGUAGUGACGAAUGUAUGCUUGCUAGAAAGGUAGAAAAGUUGGAAAUCUGUAUGUAUUCGGGUUUGUAUUUUAAAUUUUUAAUCAAUAACUGGAUAUUAGUAUCAAUCGUGUAAUCACUUUGUGAAUACAGUGAUUCGACCUUA
Long non-coding RNA from Erigeron canadensis, 283 nucleotides. RefSeq lists it as uncharacterized. The transcript is spliced from 2 exons. The record is from RefSeq and is a predicted model, not a curated record. Lineage: Eukaryota; Viridiplantae; Streptophyta; Magnoliopsida; Asterales; Asteraceae.